This 488-nucleotide ribosomal RNA is filed under the name uncultured bacterium. RNAcentral describes it as "partial 16S ribosomal RNA". It matches the Rfam family "Bacterial small subunit ribosomal RNA", at positions 30 to 523 of the family's 1533-position model. The record is from RNAcentral.
AUUGAACGCUGGCGGCAGGCUUAACACAUGCAAGUCGAGCGGGGACUUCGGUCCUAGCGGCGAACGGGUGAGGAAUGCUUGGGAAUCUGCCUUGUAGUGGGGGAUAACGUUUCGAAAGGAACGCUAAUACCGCAUACGUCCUACGGGAGAAAGGGGGGGAUCUUCGGACCUCUCGCUAUAAGAUGAGCCCAAGUCGGAUUAGCUAGUUGGUGGGGUAAAGGCUCACCAAGGCGACGAUCCGUAGCUGGUCUGAGAGGAUGAUCAGCCACACUGGAACUGAGACACGGUCCAGACGCCUACGGGAGGCAGCAGUGGGGAAUAUUGGACAAUGGGCGAAAGCCUGAUCCAGCCAUGCCGCGUGUGUGAAGAAGGCCUUCGGGUUGUAAAGCACUUUAAGCGAGGAGGAAUGGCUCUGGGUUAAUACCCUUGAGCAGUGUCGUUACUCGCAGAAUAAGCACCGGCUAACUCUGUGCCAGCCGCCGCCGUAA